CAGUGUUCGCUGCCCUCACGGGUAGCAAACCUCACCCUUGUGUAUUAUAUCUUUGUUGCUUUGGCACGCCGCCUUCGGGUACCGGCUUCGGCUGGCUCGCGCGUGUCAGAGAACCUAAAACUCUUGUUUAAUCAUAUUGUCUGAGUACUAUAUAAUAGUUA
Molecule: unclassified non-coding RNA, 161 nt
Filed under: uncultured Helotiales
Lineage: Eukaryota; Fungi; Ascomycota; Leotiomycetes; Helotiales
Description: sequence contains ITS1
Source: RNAcentral